This is a long non-coding RNA of Lolium rigidum, 380 nucleotides long. RefSeq lists it as uncharacterized. The record is from RefSeq and is a predicted model, not a curated record. Lineage: Eukaryota; Viridiplantae; Streptophyta; Magnoliopsida; Poales; Poaceae. The transcript has 3 exons.
CGAGUUCCAUCUCCUCAGUCUCCGGCGACCCGAGAGAUUGAGAGAAAGAAGGAGCGGUGCCGCCGGCGGACUCGACACACCAGCCACCAACGAUUCGAGUGGAGAGAAGGGUGCCGCGACUGGGGGAGAUAGAAGAUGGAUCCUGAUGAGAUUCCGCAAUUGGCCGAUCCCAUUUCUCGCACGCCGUGUGUGGAUGGCAAAAGGCUGUGGCGUUCCCUAAUCCCGUCUUGCCCCGUGUCUGAGGUGCUUGACGACGACGAUCUUCUCAUUGAGAUCCUAGUCCGGGUCGGCUUCCCCACCACUCUCGUCCACGCCGCUCUAGUAUGUAGGCGCUGGUUUCACCAUGCCUCCGACCCCGUCUUCCUCCACCGUUUUCGAAA